UGAAAUCACAAUGAGCUGGUAGUGAAACACCCCUGCCACCUAGUGGUUGCUUAUGCUGAAGCAUGUGGUUCUUUCAAAGCACAGAAAACAUAAACGGAAUUGCGUUAGUAUAGGUGACAAAUCCAGCCAAUGUCCUGAACCUGGAAAAUUUUCAUUCCCUUCUCCCUUUGUGUAAUCAGAAGAACUAAAAGAGCAUUAGCAAGGAAAAACGUUGCAGAUAAACAUAGGCAGCCACCAGGUCUUUAGCAUGAAGUGCCAGCUGCGAAAGGAAGCAGGAAGUUCAAGAACUGAGCAAAGGAGUGUCAACAGUGGAACAGGAUCCCUCAGUAGUGGAGCUCAUGCAGCAGCACUGUGGGGCCGGGGCAAAGGAGGAUCAGAAGCAAGGUCAGCAGGGACGAUGAUAAAGUCACAAAGGCUCAGGAUUGUUGAGCUGUAACAGCCGUGGAGACCAUUGUGUUGGGACAACUAUACUGCUUGACUUAGGGUAAAGGAAUUAGCAUACUUAGAUCAAACAUACAUUAUCCUUAGGCGUUGCAGGGGAUUUGUUCCAGGAUACCCACGGAUACCAAAAUGCAAAGAUGCUCAAGUCUCUUACACAGGUUGAACAUGGUGGCAUACACCUGUAAUCUCAUCAACUCAGGAGGCUGAGGUAGGAGGAUUACAAGUUCCAAGCUAACCUCAGUGAGGACCUAAGCAACUGAGUAAGACCCUGUCUCAAAAUGAAAAAUAAAAGGCCUGGGAUAUAGCUCAGCGGUAAAGUAUCCUGGAGUCAAUUCUUAGUACAAACAAGCAAAUAAAACCAUAAUAUUCACAUAUGACCUACAUACAUCUUGCUGUAUACUUUAGUUCAUCUCUAGAUUAUUUAGUGCAAUGGAAAUGCUGUGUAAGUAGUUGUUGUGGAAUUGUUUAGGGAUAGUGACAAGAACAAAAAGU
Molecule: long non-coding RNA, 933 nt
Filed under: Marmota monax (woodchuck)
Lineage: Eukaryota; Metazoa; Chordata; Mammalia; Rodentia; Sciuridae
Source: RNAcentral